UGGGGAAUAUUGCACAAUGGACGAAAGUCUGAUGCAGCGACGCCGCGUGAGGGAAGAAGGUUUUCGGAUUGUAAACCUCUGUCCUCGGGGACGAAACAAAUGACGGUACCCGGGGAGGAAGCCACGGCUAACUACGUGCCAGCAGCCGCGGUAAAACGUAGGUGGCGAGCGUUGUCCGGAAUUACUGGGUGUAAAGGGAGCGCAGGUGGGAUAUCAAGUCGAAUGUGAAAUCUAUGGGCUCAACCCAUAAAUUGCGUUCGAUACUGAUGUUCUUGAGUGGAGUAGAGGCAGGCGGAAUUCCCGGUGUAGCGGUGGAAUGCGUAGAUAUCGGGAGGAACACCAGUGGCGAAGGCGGCCUGCUGGGCUCUAACUGACACUGAGGCUCGAAAGCGUGGGUAGCAAACA
This is a ribosomal RNA of 405 nucleotides. It matches the Rfam family "Bacterial small subunit ribosomal RNA", at positions 355 to 774 of the family's 1533-position model.